RNAcentral lists this ribosomal RNA (737 nucleotides) under uncultured bacterium. Its description in RNAcentral is "bacterial SSU rRNA". It matches the Rfam family "Bacterial small subunit ribosomal RNA", at positions 43 to 772 of the family's 1533-position model. The record is from RNAcentral.
CAGCUUACACAUGCAGUCGAGCGGUAGCACAAGGGAGCUUGCUCCCUGGGUGACGAGCGGCGGACGGGUGAGUAAUGUCUGGGAAACUGCCUGAUGGAGGGGGAUAACUACUGGAAACGGUAGCUAAUACCGCAUAACGUCGCAAGACCAAAGAGGGGGACCUUCGGGCCUCUUGCCAUCAGAUGUGCCCAGAUGGGAUUAGCUAGUAGGUGGGGUAAUGGCUCACCUAGGCGACGAUCCCUAGCUGGUCUGAGAGGAUGACCAGCCACACUGGAACUGAGACACGGUCCAGACUCCUACGGGAGGCAGCAGUGGGGAAUAUUGCACAAUGGGCGCAAGCCUGAUGCAGCCAUGCCGCGUGUGUGAAGAAGGCCUUCGGGUUGUAAAGCACUUUCAGCGAGGAGGAAGGUGGUGAACUUAAUACGUUCAUCAAUUGACGUUACUCGCAGAAGAAGCACCGGCUAACUCCGUGCCAGCAGCCGCGGUAAUACGGAGGGUGCAAGCGUUAAUCGGAAUUACUGGGCGUAAAGCGCACGCAGGCGGUUUGUUAAGUCAGAUGUGAAAUCCCCGGGCUCAACCUGGGAACUGCAUUUGAAACUGGCAAGCUAGAGUCUCGUAGAGGGGGGUAGAAUUCCAGGUGUAGCGGUGAAAUGCGUAGAGAUCUGGAGGAAUACCGGUGGCGAAGGCGGCCCCCUGGACGAAGACUGACGCUCAGGUGCGAAAGCGUGGGGAGCAAA